RNAcentral lists this ribosomal RNA (445 nucleotides) under uncultured bacterium. Its description in RNAcentral is "partial 16S ribosomal RNA". It matches the Rfam family "Bacterial small subunit ribosomal RNA", at positions 354 to 796 of the family's 1533-position model. The record is from RNAcentral.
GUGAGGAAUAUUGGUCAAUGGGCGGGAGCCUGAACCAGCCAAGUCGCGUGAAGGAAGAAGGAUCUAUGGUUCGUAAACUUCUUUUGCAGGGGAAUAAAGUGCAGGACGUGUCCUGUUUUGUAUGUACCCUGAGAAUAAGGAUCGGCUAACUCCGUGCCAGCAGCCGCGGUAAUACGGAGGAUCCGAGCGUUAUCCGGAUUUAUUGGGUUUAAAGGGUGCGUAGGUGGUUUGAUAAGUCAGCGGUGAAAGUUUGCAGCUUAACUGGAAAAAUGCCGUUGAAACUGUCGGACUUGAGUGUAAAUGAGGUAGGCGGAAUGCGUGGUGUAGCGGUGAAAUGCAUAGAUAUCACGCAGAACUCCGAUUGCGAAGGCAGCUUACUAAGCUACAACUGACACUGAAGCACGAAAGCGUGGGGAUCAAACAGGAUUAGAUACCCGAGUAGUCC